UACAGAGGGGGCGAGCGUUGUUCGGAUUCAUUGGGCGUAAAGGGUGCGUAGGUGGCGGGGCAAGUUUGGUGUGAAAUCCCGGGGCUCAACCCUGGAACUGCACUGAAUACUGCUUUGCUAGAGUACUGGAGAGGGAACUGGAAUUUACGGUGUAGCAGUGAAAUGCGUAGAUAUCGUAAGGAAGACCAGUGGCGAAGGCGAGUUCCUGGACAGUUACUGACACUGAGGCACGAAGGCCAGGGGAGCAAACGGG
RNAcentral lists this ribosomal RNA (253 nucleotides) under uncultured bacterium. Its description in RNAcentral is "partial 16S ribosomal RNA". It matches the Rfam family "Bacterial small subunit ribosomal RNA", at positions 524 to 776 of the family's 1533-position model. The record is from RNAcentral.